CCCAUCUCCAAGUUCAGAAGCGGAGCAGCUCUAAUGUCUACUCGGCAUUCGGAAGGAGACACCUUUUCUCGGACAGCCCGAGGAGGCACAUGACACGUGUGGAAGCCAGAGGACUACUUGCCAAAGAUAGUUUUCUCCUCCCAUCGCGUGGAUCCUGGGGAUCGAACUCAAGUCCUCAGACUUGUGAGCAAGCACCUUUAACCCGAUUAGCUGUCUCACCACCCUAAGGCUCCCUUUGUGAUGACAUUUUGUGAAGUUUGCCUUAAAACUCCAUGAAGCUUUGCGUCUGUGUAUGUGAUGGGGAUAUGUACACGAAGACCAUCUAGGUGCCAGGCUUCAAGGAGCUAGUCUAC
Molecule: long non-coding RNA, 353 nt
Organism: Microtus oregoni (creeping vole)
Lineage: Eukaryota; Metazoa; Chordata; Mammalia; Rodentia; Cricetidae
Exons: 3
Source: RefSeq, a predicted model, not a curated record